AUUGAACGCUGGCGGCAGGCCUAACACAUGCAAGUCGAACGGUAACAGGAAGAAGCUUGCUUCUUUGCUGACGAGUGGCGGACGGGUGAGUAAUGUCUGGGAAACUGCCUGAUGGAGGGGGAUAACUACUGGAAACGGUAGCUAAUACCGCAUAACGUCGCAAAACCAAAGAGGGGGACCUCCGGGCCUCUUGCCAUCGGAUGUGCCCAGAUGGGAUUAGCUAGUAGGUGGGGUAACGGCUCACCUAGGCGACGAUCCCUAGCUGGUCUGAGAGGAUGACCAGCCACACUGGAACUGAGACACGGUCCAGACUCCUACGGGAGGCAGCAGUGGGGAAUAUUGCACAAUGGGCGCAAGCCUGAUGCAGCCAUGCCGCGUGUAUGAAGAAGGCCUUCGGGUUGUAAAGUACUUUCAGCGGGGAGGAAGGGAGUAAAGUUAAUACCUUUGAUCAUUGACGUUACCCGCAGAAGAAGCACCGGCUAACUCCGUGCCAGCAGCCGCGGUAAUACGGAGGGUGCAAGCGUUAAUCGGAAUUACUGGGCGUAAAGCGCACGCAGGCGGUUUGUUAAGUCAGAUGUGAAAUCCCCGGGCUCAACCUGGGAACUGCAUCUGAUACUGGCAAGCUUGAGUCUAAUAGAGGGGGGUAGAAUUCCAGGUGUAGCGGUGAAAUGCGUAGAGAUCUGGAGGAAUACCGGUGGCGAAGGCGGCCCCCUGGACGAAGACUGACGCUCAGGUGCGAAAGCGUGGGGAGCAAACGGGAUUAGAUACCCUGGUAGUCCACGCCGUAAACGAUGUCGACUUGGAGGUUGUGCCCUUGAGGCGUGGCUUCCGGAGCUAACGCGUUAAGUCGACCGCCUGGGGAGUACGGCCGCAAGGUUAAAACUCAAAUGAAUUGACGGGGGCCCGCACAAGCGGUGGAGCAUGUGGUUUAAUUCGAUGCAACGCGAAGAACCUUACCUGGUCUUGACAUCCACGGAAGUUUUCAGAGAUGAGAAUGUGCCUUCGGGAACCGUGAGACAGGUGCUGCAUGGCUGUCGUCAGCUCGUGUUGUGAAAUGUUGGGUUAAGUC
RNAcentral lists this ribosomal RNA (1069 nucleotides) under uncultured bacterium. RNAcentral's name for it is "bacterial SSU rRNA". It matches the Rfam family "Bacterial small subunit ribosomal RNA", at positions 28 to 1086 of the family's 1533-position model. The record is from RNAcentral.